This 2593-nucleotide long non-coding RNA is filed under the name Homo sapiens (human). Its description in RNAcentral is "non-protein coding lnc-TOX3-10:1". Lineage: Eukaryota; Metazoa; Chordata; Mammalia; Primates; Hominidae. The record is from RNAcentral.
GAGGGUACCACUGCACUCCAGCCUGGGUGACAGAGUGAGACUCCGUCUCAAAAAAAAAAAAAAGAAAAAAAAAACAGGCUUCUGCAGGCACUGAACACUGUGGUGGGGUGGGGAAGCAGGUAGGUACCUGGGUAGAAUCCCAGUAGGGUACAGGAAUAAACUUGGAUGAGGAAAAAAAUACCUCUGCUAACUUCUACCUAUUAGAAUUGUAAUCUUCUAUUGUGAAUGUACAUAACAAACUGCAAUGGUACUAAUGGUACAUGUGAUUGUAUUCACCAGUAGAAAUCCCUGAUAUUUUCAUUUUAUAUUACAGUUACCUCAGGGAUUUGAGAAAAAUUAUUUAUGCUCAAUGGCAUUUCAAAAUCAUAGUAGCUCUUAGAUUAACCAGUAGAUCUUAUUAAUGUUACUGGCCUGUGUGUUACUGGUAACAGACUCACUUAGGUAAGGGAUCAAAGGGAAAUACAACUUUCCUCUUGCAUGCUCUGUCUGCACAAAGCAGGAACGUCUGGAAAGAGCCAGCCUCCCAAUCAGGACUGGCCACCCUCUCUCUCUUCCUAUUCCUCUCUGCUGUCUGUGACUACUAGCCACCUCAGAUUCAAAGCAAAAGCAGAAAGCCAGAGCCCUACUUUAGUUUUUUGGCUUAAGCAAUGUGGUUCAACCCAGUUUUAACCUCUAUAUGAAGGAAUUGAAGCAGAAGUCAUAAUCCCAAUUAGCUACUGUAUCUUCUAUUUAGAAUUCUUUGAACAAGAUCUUCACAGGGAAAGAGAAGUGAAUGGUCUUAUCCAGGUCUCACACCUCUAUUACAAACCCCCUGUUAAUAACUCUAUCAGAUAAUCCCUCCAGUAAGAGGUUAACAUUUAAUGAGUGCCUCUGUAUCCUAAGGAUAUAGGUACUCAGCAAGUCAUAUAUACUAUCCUAUCUGAUAAAAUCAGCUGAGAUAUGGACAUUAAUUCUCUGUAUUAGUAGUACAGAUGAGUGAAUUGGGAUGUAUAGAAAUGUCAUAAUUGACCCAAGUUCACCCAGCUAAUAAGUGGAAAAUCUUGGGUUCAAACACAGGCUCCUCUGACUGAAAGUUUCGUGUUGAUUCUACUACUUUCAAUAAAGUCAAAUAGAACAAACAAAUUUUACUUCCCUUUUUGGACUCUUAAUAGGCAUGAUAUAUUUAUCAUAAUAUAUCAUGAGGAAGAAUCCCCCCCUCUACAAAAAUGACAGGAAUAAUAUUUUUUCUGGAUGUUUUCCUUUGGGUUGUUGGGGGAGAAAUUUUUUUUCUGAAGCACAUUCUUUGCUUGCAUGAUAGAGUACUUGGAAUUGUUUUUAGAAAUACCUGCACUGUCAGUUAAAGUUAACUCUUUUCUUGCUGAUGAAUUAAUGUUGGCAUAAGCCUUCUGCUAGAAACUGUUCUUGGACACAAGAAAGUUUUCUAAUUGAAACCCUGCUUUUGGCUCCUCUUUUAUUAUGAGCCAUUUCAGUAAGUGGCCCCAUCAUUUGUCCAGUUGGACAAGCCAGCAAUAUGGAAGCCUCCUCCUGUUUCACUGCUUGUAGUCAGUCCAUCACCAAAGUCCCAUCAAUUCCAACCUCCCAAAUAGAUCUCAAAGAUAUCCACUACUUCCUGUCUGCUACCACCGCUAUAGCAAAACUAUCAUGGUCUCUUGCCUGCGCCAUGCAGUUGACUCCCCAGGUCUAUUUAUUCCUGCUUCCUUACUCUUUGCCCUUUUUCCCAUCAUUUCUCCACAUUUCAGAUCCUUCAGUAACUUGCCUUUGCUCUUAGGAUGGCAUCACCUCUCCUUAACUUGACAAACAAAGCUCUUGACUAUUGACCCUAAACACUGCCCUAUCUUACCUUACCCCUUCAUCCUCUUUACUCUCUUAUUGCCAGUUUUAUUUACCUUCUCUAUGAAUCAGGGUAUGAUAGGUUAAGCUGCAGCAACAAGCAACCCCCAAAUCACAGCAUCUUAAAAGCACAAAGGCUCAUUUAUUGCUCACAGUACGUAUCCAGUAUGUAUUAGAAGUGGCACCCUGCAGGAGUGUGUGUGCACUAGAAGAAAGCAUAGCCAAUUGCACGCUAGCUCUUGAGGCUUCCAUGCAGGCAUGGUGUGCAUACACACACAUUUAUGUUCCCAUUGCAUUGGGCAGAAAAAGUCACAUGUCCACAUCCACAUUCACAGAGUCAGGGACAUGCAAUACCAGCAGGUACCUAGGUACCCAGGAGGACAGAGAAUCCACAUCAGGACAUUGCACCUGCUUCCUUCUUCCACAGGCCUUUAAACAAGCUGAUUCCUCUGCCUGAAAUGCCUUUCCUUUUAUUCUUUUAUUUUUUUCAAUAUUGCCCAUAUUUAAAAUACACCCUCCAUUCCUUGAAGUAACUCCUGUAUUAUUCUCUGCAUCUAAGCUCAAGCUUAGGGAAACCUUCCCUCCCUGGGUCAAAAUAUCCAUAUUAUAAGCUCUUAUAGCAAAAUAUACAUGUAUAAAACUUGCCAUAAUUGCAAUUUUAUCUUUGUUUGAAUGAAUGUGUGAUAAAUAUCUGUCUCCCAUAUAAGACUGUAAACUCUAUGAAGAGAGUGACUGCAUUGGCUUUUGCUCACCAGUGUUAUAA